Molecule: non-coding RNA, 82 nt
Organism: Nematostella vectensis (starlet sea anemone)
Lineage: Eukaryota; Metazoa; Cnidaria; Anthozoa; Actiniaria; Edwardsiidae
Source: Rfam
UGUAAAUGAUGAUAUUCUUCACAACAGCUGAAGCAGCUUGCUGCUAUGUAGAUCCCAAACGAGCUUUUUAAAUCUGAUAAAC